GAUGAACGCUGGCGGCGUGCCCAAUACAUGCAAGUCGAGCGAACGGACGAGAAGCUUGCUUCUCUGAUGUUAGCGGCGGACGGGUGAGUAACACGUGGAUAACCUACCUAUAAGACUGGGAUAACUUCGGGAAACCGUAGCUAAUACCGGAUAAUAUUUUGAACCGCAUGGUUCAAAAGUGAAAGACGGUCUUGCUGUCACUUAUAGAUGGAUCCGCGCUGCAUUAGCUAGUUGGUAAGGUAACGGCUUACCAAGGCAACGAUGCAUAGCCGACCUGAGAGGGUGAUCGGCCACACUGGAACUGAGACACGGUCCAGACUCCUACGGGAGGCAGCAGUAGGGAAUCUUCCGCAAUGGGCGAAAGCCUGACGGAGCAACGCCGCGUGAGUGAUGAAGGUCUUCGGAUCGUAAAACCCUGUUAUUAGGGAAGAACAUAUGUGUAAGUAACUGUGCACAUCUUGACGGUACCUAAUCAGAAAGCCACGGCUAACUACGUG
RNAcentral lists this ribosomal RNA (497 nucleotides) under uncultured bacterium. Its description in RNAcentral is "partial 16S ribosomal RNA". It matches the Rfam family "Bacterial small subunit ribosomal RNA", at positions 28 to 507 of the family's 1533-position model. The record is from RNAcentral.